Equus caballus (horse) is the source of this 568-nucleotide long non-coding RNA. RefSeq lists it as uncharacterized. The record is from RefSeq and is a predicted model, not a curated record. Lineage: Eukaryota; Metazoa; Chordata; Mammalia; Perissodactyla; Equidae.
GCUGCCUCUUACAGAUCUCCGAAGAGUUAGCCUCACAGAAACCUCUGGAUGUGGAGAUGGCUGGCUGACAUCAUAGGAUACUCAGAAAUGAACUUGGGGUUAAGACAACAACAUAUUGACAUAAUCAUGAUGUCUGGAGGUGUCGCCAUUUGGAAACCAUAUUUCAACAUGCCUGGAGUCAAAGAAGCAACCAGCUGCAGACAAUGGAGUAGAAGCACGUCCUUGGUAAAAUGAUGGAGCUGUACCAACUCUGGACUGCUAACCUCUGGACUUCCUUGUAUUUAAGAUGAGGAUGCCUUCACCACUUCUGUUCAUCAUAAUGAAGGAACAGGCUGACCAGAGGUAGGAAACACACCUAAAAGGUAUCCAUCAUGACUAGCAGACGAAUGGAACAAUUGGAACAAUGUGAUGCCCGGAGCCCAUCGCUCCUGGAGACCAACAUCCCUGGAUCCUCUCCUUACUGCCCAUUUUCCCUAUGUAACUGCCUCAAGAUUCUGCAAUUCUUGAAGAUGGUUUUUGUUUUGAGACAAGACUCUACCAUCUUCCCUAUUAUGCUGGUUAACUGAAU